RNAcentral lists this ribosomal RNA (252 nucleotides) under uncultured bacterium. RNAcentral's name for it is "partial 16S ribosomal RNA". It matches the Rfam family "Bacterial small subunit ribosomal RNA", at positions 524 to 776 of the family's 1533-position model. The record is from RNAcentral.
UACGUAUGUCGCAAGCGUUAUCCGGAAUUAUUGGGCGUAAAGCGCGUCUAGGCGGUCUUGUAAGUCUGAUGUGAAAAUGCGGGGCUCAACUCCGUAUUGCGUUGGAAACUGCUUGACUAGAGUACUGGAGAGGUGGGCGGAACUACAAGUGUAGAGGUGAAAUUCGUAGAUAUUUGUAGGAAUGCCGAUAGAGAAGUCAGCUCACUGGACAGAUACUGACGCUGAAGCGCGAAAGCGUGGGGAGCAAACCGG